UCGGGAUAAGCCUGGGAAACUGGGUCUAAAACCGGAAAGGACCAUCGUUUGGAUGGCUUUGGGGAAAGUUUUUUCGGUGUGGGAUGAGCUCGCGGCCUAUCAGCUUGUUGGUGGGGUAAUGGCCUACCAAGGCGUCGACGGGUAGCCGGCCUGAGAGGGUGUACGGCCACAUUGGGACUGAGAUACGGCCCAGACUCCUACGGGAGGCAGCAGUGGGGAAUAUUGCACAAUGGGCGCAAGCCUGAUGCAGCGACGCCGCGUGGGGGAUGACGGCCUUCGGGUUGUAAACUCCUUUCGCUAGGACGAAGCGCAAGUGACGG
Molecule: ribosomal RNA, 320 nt
Filed under: Corynebacterium afermentans
Lineage: Bacteria; Bacillati; Actinomycetota; Actinomycetes; Mycobacteriales; Corynebacteriaceae
Description: bacterial SSU rRNA
Rfam family: Bacterial small subunit ribosomal RNA
Source: RNAcentral